CGGAGUAGUCUAGUAUUUGGUCGUUCAAAAGAUGACUAAGCUUACGACAGACCACUACUUCGACACAUCCACGACACACACUUAAAAUGAAUUUAAGUCAAAUUAAAUACAAUUAAGCAAGAGUGUCUGUCAGGUAUCAGUGAAAGGUGACUACAUAGUAAUGAGCCGUUCAUUGCACAUGAUGACCGCAAGUCUGACUGUAAUCUUACCAAAGACCUCUAUUCCCGCAAGGAAGAGUUGGGGAGGCAUCCUCAAAGAGAGUUGAGUAAUUAGAGAGUAAUUGAUACCUCAAGGAGUGGUGUACCUAAAAGACCGUCAUUGAGAAAUACUUUCCAAAAGAAAGUGGAUAUUAAGGGAAACAAUAAUCCUUAUAAAGGUUCUCACAAAUAGGUGUAAUCUCAGCCU
Molecule: non-coding RNA, 405 nt
Filed under: unclassified sequences
Description: Giant, ornate, lake- and Lactobacillales-derived (GOLLD) RNA
Rfam family: Giant, ornate, lake- and Lactobacillales-derived (GOLLD) RNA
Source: Rfam by way of RNAcentral